AGUUGCUGUUUCAGUUGCAGUCACACUUUAUUUUUUUCUCUGCCAGGUGCCACAUGGUGGUGCUCCUGACUCUGCAUUGCUCAGGGGCCUGAGCUGCCUGAGAGGAGUUCCAGAUGCAGUGUAUGUACCAAAACUGAUUUUACAGAGAGGGCUAAGAGACAGCUCUGCAAUGAAGGUGAAUCAUACUGUGGGAUGGGGGGAGGCACUUUUCUCCCAGGACGCAGCUACUAAGCUUGAUAACAGGAAGAAAGAGCUGAAUAAUGGCAGCUGAUAAAAAUUCUCAGGACUAUGCCUCAGUUUCCUCCUUUCACCAUUAAGAGCAACACCGUACUGGGGUGUACUGGAAGAAAGGUGAUUGAUUAAUGAAGCUGAAUCUACAGAAAUACUGCUUUACACUCCUGCCAACAUCUUCAGAGGCAAAACAAAGAUCUCUUCUCCAAGCAGAGCAUUGGCCCCAGAGCAGAAUCCAGAAGAUCUGCCACAGAGUUCGCAUUUGCUGAAAAUGGGGUUGUGGCUGGCUUCAAGAUAUACUACACUCCGUUUUUUCUUUGAUUCACUGCAAAUGGUAUAUCGAAAGCUGGAAGAGGGGAAAUGUAAAAUGGCAAUGGUCAGAAGGAGAGACGUUGUCUUUGCUAUUUACAGUUUUUCACUGUUUUUGCUCUCUUGAUAUAACUGCCUUGGUGGAUGUCUUUGUUUUAUCUUCUCGUGACAUUAUCCAUUCCUGGAUGGUCUCGCACACUUUCUUCAACUUUUUUUUAAGCUUACAAUAUUGAGAUAGUACGUGUUUAAAGCAUCUGUUGCCCGUAAAAUCUAUGAAGUUGAUAAUCUCCCAUGCCGUACUACUUUUCUAAAGAGAUCACACAUGGCAUUUAAGGCACCACUUCAGAGCAAUUGGAGGACCCUGGCAUUUCAUACUUCCAUGUGAGUGAGAGCCUCAUGUCUUCCUCCAGUAUUUAUUGUUGGGGACCAUGGUCUAAAAGAGUCUUUUUUCCUCAGCUCCUGUGCUCUCAUUUGCCGGAAGUGCAACAUAAUCAAAGCACUAGAUUGGAUGAGAUUUGCGAAAACUGGGAAGAAGGAAUGUGUGUAUAGUAAUAACUUUCAAAAAUGUAAAGACAGAAGAGGGAAUUAUGAUCUGCAUGGAAUGAGAUAUUGCCGAAUAGUUCCCAAAUGAGUACAUUGAAUUAUGUUAAAACAUAGCUGAGCUUUACUUGUAUGUUUUCUCUCUCCCUGCAUUUCUGAGCAAAUGGUAAAUAAAUUCAUAUAAGGUACUUUAGCCA
Molecule: long non-coding RNA, 1277 nt
Filed under: Struthio camelus australis
Lineage: Eukaryota; Metazoa; Chordata; Aves; Struthioniformes; Struthionidae
Description: lncRNA (ENSSCUG00000017003.1)
Source: RNAcentral